Molecule: transfer RNA, 82 nt
Filed under: Daphnia pulex (common water flea)
Lineage: Eukaryota; Metazoa; Arthropoda; Branchiopoda; Diplostraca; Daphniidae
Also listed under: 1 other name
Description: tRNA-Leu
Rfam family: tRNA
About the family: Transfer RNA (tRNA) molecules are approximately 80 nucleotides in length. Their secondary structure includes four short double-helical elements and three loops (D, anti-codon, and T loops).
Source: RNAcentral
GGUAGAGUGGCCGAGCGGUCCAAGGCGCUGGUUUAAGGCACCAGUCUCUUCGGGGGCAUGGGUUCGAAUCCCAUCGCUGCCA